This is a non-coding RNA of Equus caballus (horse), 6846 nucleotides long. The record is from RefSeq and is a predicted model, not a curated record. NCBI's taxonomy places the organism in Eukaryota, Metazoa, Chordata, Mammalia, Perissodactyla, Equidae.
CGUUUUUCCUGUGAGGGACGCGCCACCUGUCGGUGCUGUCGAAGAACUGCACUUGUGUGAUGCUCUCUGGUUGGCGAGGCUGUGGGAGAGGUUUGUGUUUGAAGUCCGGGCAGGAGUGGGAGCGAUCCGGCCACUUUCCUGACAGCCGACGCCUGACCCGGGAGAGAGAACGGGGUUUCGGGAGGGGAAUCCUUCUUGGGAUCCCCUCGCCUCGUGAGAGCCAAAGCAGGAGAGCAAAACCCAUGGAGGACUGUUUGCACUAUGAUUCAGAAAGCAGAAAAUACCUGAGACACACACUGGGGUGGGCGCUGCAGUGGGGGUCGGCGACUGGGUUCCUUCGCCUCCUCUGCCUGCUCCGUGCUGUGUGACCUCGGGCGAGCCCCUCGUUCUCUCUGGGCCUGUUUCCUUACGUGUAAACUGAGGUUAUUGGAUUCGAUUGAUCCCCUGUCAACUCUGACCUUGAAUCUAACAUUGAAUCUGGGCAGUAUAUGUAGACACCUGGGUAUUGUCUUCUAUUUCUAGCACUUAAUAGAUCCUGGACCUUUAUAUGCAUUUACAUCCUUAUCUUUUAAACAUAUUUAAGGUAUGGCUGCUUCAAUUGUAUCACUGUUUUAAUUGUCUGAGGACUUCAUUUAAGCGGUGUCAGGAUGUUUCUUGGCCCGAAUUAUCCUGAUAAGUGCCCAUUUGCUUAAACUUUUUUUUUUUUUUUUUUUUUAAGAAUCAGACAACCUAGAAAACUUCAUUCACUUUGCAGUGUAGACGCCGCUGGGGAGGACCCGUGUCAUGGGGCCAGAAAGAACUUAAUGGAUGCUCAUGUGGGAAGGCUUAGAGGAGAAGACCCAGGCCCCGGACUGCGGUCAGUGUCAGAGAGAGGAUCCGCAAGAAGGACCGAGGCUGGAGAGGACUAGAGAGAAGACUGCUGCUGGGUACACUCUGAGCUCCCCCUGCAGGGGUGGCCCCUGACCAGAGGCCCCUGAUAGACGCUGUCUUGAAAGCAGAAAAGGCAAGGUGUUGAGAGGCCAGUGUAGGAUAGCUCAGACCUCAAGCCACUUUCCCUUGAACUCCCCAUGAAAUUAAUGAAGCAUGGAAAGCGGGAGAAAUGGGCAAUAUUUUGCUCGAGUAACGCGGGGAUCGCGGAUAACUUCUGCUGGAGUUGGGCGUUUGCGCAUCUGGAGGAGAGAGACUCCGCGCUGUGGUGUCUUUCGCAAGGCCUGGCGCUUGAGCUUGGACUGCCCCGGCGCAAGUGAGGCGUGCGGGUUAGGGAGCCCCCAAAGGUCCGCGCCCAACAGAGCAGCAGGCAGGGCCCGCUGCUCUCGUCUUCAGCUCCUGAGCGGCCGCUCACGGCCGGCCGGAUGGGCUGCCUCUUCCCGAAGCUGGGGGGAGGCCGUCCAUCUCCUCCCCUGGGAAUCGAGACUCCCCUUGGGACACCCAAAGUGGCUGCCACUUUGAACCCGGGACAGUUUGCUUUUGGAAUGGAGGGCACAUUUCUGGUCUUUCCGUCUGCGAGUCGGGGAAUCGUUCUGGGACCCACCGACUCCUUGUAGCUGGUGAAUUUCACCCUGUUGACAACCGGCACCGGCGUGGAUUCAGGGCCAGGGGUUAGUGUUCCUAUUUAGAGACAGGAAAAUCAAGGGUUGGGAGGUCUGGUCGCUAGUCCUUGUGAGCGGCAGUCUGAAGGUGAACAGAGGCCUGAGGGGUCGCUCGGUGGCCUAGCCCUGCUGUCCUGGCGGUCUGUGCGGCUCGGUGUUUUUCAGCUGCACGCGCAAGGGGCUGGCGGGGAUUUGGCGGUCCCGAUUGUCUGCGCCACGGGUCUCAGACCUCUUGUGACACCUGCCAUUUCCCAGCUCCUCAGGCCUGACCCGUGGAAUUCCGAACUCUGCGCUUUCUGGCCUCUGUGUCGUGGCCCUGGAGUCAGCUGUCAUCCGUCUGAGCCAGGUCGGCCUGGGAAAUGGGGAGCUCCAGGCCUCAGCCUAGCGUGGCCGCACGUGACCCCGGGGCUGGAGCUGCGGGCUGACUGGGGUGGCCGCGUGGACACUACCCUCCGGCGGGACCGAGGAGCAGCUGCUGGGAGUCUGUGUCCAUCCCGCUGCUCCUGGACAUUCCCAGGCGGCACGGAACUCAGAUUUCGGGGAUUAAGAUCAAGCCCCCGGAGGCGAGUGCGCCGCGGAGAGCAGACGGAGACUGGGAUUCUUCCAGAGCCGCCAAAAAGUCCGCGCGCUGGACAGAGAACUCAGCUCCAACUUGGGCGGCUCAGAUCAACCCCAGUGGUGGGACUGACAUAGGAAAACGAACGGAUUUAUUUUAAAUAUUUCUCACAUUUCACUCAGAUGUUGCCGGUCUACAGAGCGAGAUAGGAAUAGAGAGAAGGAAAGAGAUAAGGAGAGGGAGGCUGGAGGAGAGAGACAGCGGGAGGGAGGAAGGGAGAGAGAAAGUCAGUGAUGAGGGUCCCUUUCCUCCAAAAGCCAAGGCAAGGAUGAUAAGGAGUAGACAACCAGUGUACAGGAGGGCUUGCUCUGGGCACGGCUCUGAGCUCUCCAUCUUUACAGUUAUCUAUUCAGGUAGUAAUAUCAUCCUCUCCAGUUUAUAAAGGAGGAAACUGAGGUACGGAGAGUCGUAAACUAGCCCAAAGGCAUACCUCCAGCAAGUGGGAAAUGAAGACUGCAACCUAUGCCCAGCUCUGGAGGAGCCAGAUGGGGACCGGUUUGCUCAAAGGACUAUCGAAGUCCCCCUGCAGGCCCCAGGAGGAUGGGGUUAUAAUUUCCCCGCACAGGGGCGAGGCCUCCGCUCUCCCAGGUGCUCAAGGGGGCCUCGAUCCCUCCAGCGGCCGGCGUUUGCCUGCCGGGGUCCGUCCGGGGUGCCCUUCGCCCGCGCGCCGUCCAGGCCCGGCCGGGGCAGGGCGAGCGCCGCGUCGGGCAGGUCUCCCGUCCUCGGCCGGAGACGACCUUGCCUUUCCUUCCCCCGGACGAGCCAGCCCAGCCGGAGAGCAGCGCGGAGGCCGCAGCGUCUCCUUUCUGGUCUUGUCCGUGUUCUUCCCUCGCGCUGCCGAGCCCAGUGACCCCGGAGAGGGCCGAGCGCAUCGGGCGGGCGGCGCGGGCAGAGACGCUGGUCCGGGCAGGCCCGCUGGCCCGCGAUCCCCGGAUGCGGCAUCCCAGCCCGGCGUCCACGCUCAGUGGCUGGUCUCAGCGACUGCGAGGGUGCUCAUCAAGGUCUAGACUUUUCCAGACUUGCUUCUGGGUAGCAGGCGAGGACCCCGACUGGGACGCGCAGGGAGCUCGGGUCCCAUGGAGACGAGAAGUCUCCGGCCUUCCCCAGACCCGUGCCUUAACUGGCCUGGCGCAGACGAAGAGGGUCUCGGGGGAGGUUGAGGCCCGUGGCAAAAUCUCGAGGACCCAGCGUCUCUCAGCCGCGCUGAGGCGGUCGCCCCUGGGAAUGGCUCCACUCCCAGGCCCCGGCAGUCCGUCGGGGGUCAGGGUCACCACGGUCGCGUGCAGCACCUGGACGAGGAUGGAAGCGGGGAUGGGGAGGAAAGGACGCGCAUCCUGCGGGACGGAAGGAAGGCACCUAGGACCAGCAUUGCCAGGAGGCUUAAGACCCCCAUCCCUCCCUUGACCCCAGGCAACCCUCAGGCCAACGGGAAAGACCUCGGCCCCGAGCCUGCGCCUGGUGCCACGCAGAAGGCGUUUCCUGUUGGUUCGACUGCACUUGGGCCGGGUGAGAGGACUUCCCGGGCAGAGAGAAAGGGGCAGCCUCGGCUUACUUCAGGAAAGCGCAGGUGUUUGGACCUUGAGCCAAAAUACAUCAAAGAAGAGAUCCCCUCCCACCCCCAGCUUACAGUCUCUCAGCUAUCAAGUGUGGACUCGACAGGAAUGUUGCAAGGAAAAACUAAUUAAACGGCAGUACAAUGCUUUGAAAAUAUUAAGUGUCAUGUAAAUGCCUAAUGCUAAUAAUAAUCUUGAUGGUGGUAAUUAUGUGCCAGGAAGCACAUCCCAGACAGCCCAGCGCUGAGCCCAAAAGUGCGUGUCUAGGAGGAUCCGAGGGAACGCCCAUCCUUUCUGCUGCCGAGCCUCAGCUCUGAAUGGCCAGGUGUCAGGUGGGAGCUCAGGGUCAUGCCCUCACCACCUGGGAGGCAGACCAGAUUUAAUCCUGGUUGCAAGUCCUUAAGUUACCGCCCUCUCUGACACUCUGAGCCCCAUCACCUCGAGUAAAGUGGGAUAUUCGUGACUCCCAGGGUGUGGCCACCCCACACGUUGGAUUCUGCUUCCUCAGAGGCUCUGACAGGCUCCAGGGUGCGUUCACGUCAAGGUCUGAGCUUUGAGAGCUGAGUGCCUUCUGUGUUCCAGAGCUUGGUUACGACAUGGCCUCUAGGUGGGUUACCCUUCACGUUUAAAGAGAAGGUAAUCUCUUAGGGGACACACAUCCCUCAGUCUCCUUUUUCUGUCAACUCUUGAUGGGAGGAGUGAGGGGUUCUCGGAUCUUCCCUGAACAUUCUUCUAGUGUGGUGAAGCACCAGGCCGGCCCCGGGACUUAGAGUGGCCUUAUAAGGCAAUUUCGCCACCACCGUCCCUCACCCAUCCUUUCUGACCACGCUCCCCCCCGCCGCUGGCUUGGAGAUUUGGGGCACAGACAUCUGCCAAACCAGGAAGGCUUUGAGGGCGGCAAAUUACCCUGACUCACGACGGACGCUUUUGGGAAUUUCCACCCCAGAAAUUGCUGGGUCUUUCAGGGGUUUUGUCAUUCACCUCAAUACUUUAACGACACUCUUCAUUGUUGAACUUGCCCUCCUUUCAUUUCUGAGUGACUUAGAGAAUAGUUACCAGUUCUCCUCCAGCUGCCUUUUCUUGUCUUCCCCAAUUUGGUUCAGGUUCAGGUUUUUCUGCUGUGGGAUGACAGGCCCUUUCCCAUCCGGAAGGCGUAUAGCUGACUUUUUAAAAUUAUUAUUCAGAAGAAGCAAAUUCUUGUCUAAGGUUUAAAAAAAAUGCUUUGCUUUAUUUGCGUUAGGCUUCAAUGACUCAAAAAAUCUUACCUUUAAAAGUGAAACUUUUUACGUAUCCUACAGAAACAGGUGGCUUCCUAGGUAAUUCUUCGUUUAGAAAGACGCUCAAAUAGGAUGCUCUCAGCAGCAGUAGUGUUAAAGUUUGGGUUUAGGCCACGUGGGCUUUCCUGGUCAAACUUUGAGGGGUUCAUAAGAUCAGACAUUGACAACACACACACGCACACACACGUGCACACACAAAUGCACAGUUAAAAGGAACUCUGGAGUUUUCCCAUUUCACUCUUUCUUGUCCCAAUAUAGGCUUUGCCUUUUUUUUCUUCUUUAUGAUGAGAAGCCUGGGUGUCACUGUGCCCAGCCGCCUCAUCUAUUUCUAGUUGGGAGAUGGAAAAGUGUGUGACCUGUGCAAGCUCACACCAGCAGUUAGUGGCAGGCAGAGACUGACGUCCAGGCCAAUGCCCUUUCUGCCACAUCGUCCACCUGCCGCUUCUCUGGCAAGGAGGAAAAUCCACACAGAAGACCCCUCGCAAUUCCCACCUGUGACCUCAGGAGUCAAUAAAUCCUGCAAUUUAAAAAUAGGAUUCUCCCACUGACACCCCCAACCUCACAGGCCGCCUCGAAGGCAUGCAGGCAGUUUCCCAGGCCAGGUGGCACAGUUACACAUCCAGGACAGGGGGCCCUUGAACCAUAAUGUCACCCCUGCCCCGGCCUUAUUUUCUGCCUUGAGGCUGCACCCCAAGAAUCACCUCAAGUGAAUGGGAGCGGUGGUCUGGAAGCCUGUGGGGAAUUUGUAUGAGUACAUUGUUUGGUAACAUUUUAACAAAUUUGUUUCACUCAGCUCCACUGAGACUCUUGCUGGCAUCAUAAAUGACUUUGUUCCCAAAUCAGAUAAGGCUCUGGGGAGAUAUACUUUGUAUUGCAGAUAAGUUUUUAACAACAGCUGCUGCGCCGACCUUUUUGUUUUCAGGAAGACAUUGUUCACCAGAAAACAUUGCUCCUCCAGGAAUUUUAUAGGGAAUUAAAACAGAAAUGUUUUGGCAUUUUGGUUCCCUUUGGUUGGUGGUAGGGGAGCAUGGGGUGGAGUCAGGUUCGGGAUUACAGGGAGAGAAGGGAGGAGAGGACAGGCUGGGAAGAACAGAGCAUCCUAGUGUGAGAAGCCGGCUCAAGCUCUUGGACUCUGCCCUGAGCAUGGGGGCCCGGCCGGCCUUACUGAGUGCUUCGCAUCACCUUGCACUCUGGGCUCCCAUUCUUCCUUUGGCAUCUGUAAUUCUGCUCUGGCUGCUGUGUUUGCUUUGGGCUGUGGGUACCCACGCACUGUGUUUAAUAAUUUUGGUGAACUUGUUCAAAAACCUUCUGAUCUGAGCAUGCUGUUCGGGAAAUGGGGCUUCUGUUCCAAUGUGGCAAGACCACGUCCUCCUCCACGGGCUGUCAACACAAUGCCAGACUCUGAAAAACAGUCUCUCCAGAAAUUCAGAUGUUUCCACACUGUAAGCUGUUUGGCACUAGGAGCCGCAGUGUCCAGCCUUCCUCCAGAUAAUAGCAUGUUAUUCAGCCCCACAAUGGCUUGGGGAAAUUGAGUUCACCUUCCCCUCCCCACAGGAGUCCUUAGAGCAGAGUGGGUCAAAGGCCUGGAGAAACCACCAAACCGAAGUCCUCCCAAAGCCUGGGGGGUGCGGGUAGGAGGUGGGGGAGGAGGAAACGUGGAGACAUUCCCAUUUCUGACCAGUGGAAACUGCCCCAGCACAUGCGGAUGAGAGGACUCGGCCCUGUGUGGAUGGGCUGAGCCGGUCUAGGGUGGAAGGAAUGCGUGCACUAGUGCUCAGAGAGGCAGGGGGCUGGCCUUGCUCCAGCACAUC